Molecule: long non-coding RNA, 1807 nt
Organism: Musa acuminata AAA Group (dessert banana)
Lineage: Eukaryota; Viridiplantae; Streptophyta; Magnoliopsida; Zingiberales; Musaceae
Exons: 2
Source: RefSeq, a predicted model, not a curated record
CGUAAUGACAAAUGCAUCCUUCUAAUCUUUGAUUUUUGUUACCUAUAUAUGUGUGUGCAUGUUCUCUCUAUGGUGGAUUGUUCGCGGCUUCAUUCUUUUCUCGCAUCGAUGCUUAUUGUGAGCGUGUCGGUUGUGGGGCCUUCAUCUUUUUACCAAUUACAGUAUGGUAGACUUUGGAACAGAAACGUUUUCUCCGUUUCAUCAUUUCCAUUAGAGAAAUUAGUGGCCAUGUUAUCAUGGACUAUUUAAGUCGCGGUCUACCAUGAGUGUCUCUAUUUCCAAGUCCUCGCCUUGACGACAACAUUGGUCCAAUCUCUGAUGUAAUUUUGUGAAACAAUGGCUAUUGUUUGAGCUUUGACGGGCCUAUACAUUCUGUUUCUCUGUUCUGUACGUGCUUUUCCUUUACUGUUUUGAUUUGGUUUAUAUGGCUAUGAUUGCAGAAAUGAACAGAAUUUAUUGUCUCCUUGAUGCAUUUGGAGUAUAUUGGUUUAAAACGACCUUGAAAUCUUGUUUUUUUGUUUCUGAAUUUAUUUCAUAUUGGUCUGCAGUUGCAGGACAUGGAGAUUUAACAUGAGCUCCAUUGUAUGAUGAAAUUUUGAUGAGGUUUUAUAUGUUCAUCUGUUCAUGAUUAUUAGUGAGCUGUUAUGCUUUUACCUUUCAUGAAACUGAUAAAUGAAACAUAUUAAGAUUUCUGUACACAUCAGAGAACAACAAUGAUAAAGUUUCUACCAGGCCCCUAUUAUUUGGGAUUGGUUUUGUAGUUAAUUUCCUUCAGUGAGCCCUAUUUGAGUUCAAUACAAUUAGAGCAAUUUAAUACCUUUUAUUGUUUCAAAUAUAUCUAUUAGUUUUUCCUCUAUUAGUUAAAUAUAUCUAAUGAUAGAUAUUUUCCUUUUAUUGUUUCAUUUUGUGCACUGCUAAUCUGAUAACCUCAUUUAAUCCCACUAGUGUGAUUCAUGCUUUCUUAAGCAUAUUUAAUGUUUUAAUUGAUCGACUAUUAUAAAUAUCAAAGUUAACAGAUAAAUUACAAAACAUAUUGCUAGUUAUUUAAUGUAUUGUACAUUCAUGUCUUGAUGUUACAAAAUAUAUAUGAAAUUUUGACAAUCGAUCUUUUUUCUUGUGCAAAUAUAUAAUGUUAUGACCAAGGAUUGCCUUUUUGGGUACCAGACUUGUUUUGACAAUUUGAUGGAAUGGUACAUACUGGUCUAUACUGGUGCAUCUAGAGAUUCGGCAAGGACAAAAAAGAGGAAGGAGAGGAAGGGGUGGUGGAGGAACAUAGGAGGAAGGAGGAAAGAAGAGGGAAAAAGAGGAAGAAGAAGAAGAAAGGAGAGGAGAAAAAGAUUAGUGGUAGCGGUAAAGCAGCAGUGGUGAGGCAACAGUAUUGUUGAAGUGGCAGCGGCAAUGGUGAUGAUGAGGCGGUGGCUUCUUUUGUGUGAGGAAGGCUCGUGUUUGUGAUAACGAGAUGAUGACAUCUUAUGUGAUGGCGAAGUCGCAACGACUAGGCAGCCACAUCUUAUGCGAUAAGAGGGCUCUUGUUCGCGAGCCUUAAUUUUCUUUUUUUUUUUUUCUUUUUAACACUGAUUUGGACAGGGGCCCCAUCAUUUCUUUGAAUUUUUAAUUAAUUUAAUAGGACCAUUUGAAAGGAGGUGGUCCCUGUAUUGACCCUCGCCCGGACUAGUAUGUACCUCCCGUACGAUACUGUUUUUGGGCGGUAUAGCAAAUGUUGAUUAUGACAUAAUCAGGUCACACUGGUGGAACUGCUUUUGUCAGGUUUGUUUAUCUAAUAGAAAAUAGCUUAUAAAUGACUGGA